GUGCCGCAAAACCACCACCAGGACCGCAGAACCAAAAAGGUGGACAAAUUUGCUUCAGGAUGUCAAUAAAGCUGCCCUUAAUGAUGGGCUUCAGGCUGACUGCAAUGGACUGUGUGCAGCACACCUGGAUAUCGUGUGAAUCUGUUACUGCUACAGCUGUGAAACUCUUCUGACAAAGGAUCCAAUGCUUCUUCUCUACUGGAAACUGUUUCUGGCAGCAUGUACGUGCCAGACCUCUUCUACCUCCUUGGAGUUGCCAAAAUGCUAUGGAUCAGAAGAAAUCCUGGAAUUGGGUGUGCAAUUGCCUUAUCACUGGAACGCCUGGAGACUUCUUAUUCAAAAGGAGAUAGAAAGGUCCAGACUACGAAGCACAUGCACACAUGCAACUACAGAAGGGCAGCGACAGAAAGCAGGGGGCUGUGGCACGGGAGACUGGAGGACAGGCUUUCGUGAUCUCUUUCUUGCUGGACGAACCUGUUUUCACCAGCAAGGAGGAGGUGAAGGGGAGGCCCCAAGAGAAGGAUUCACAGAAACUGAGGAUGUUUCUGAGAAGUGGUGCUCAGCAUAUCUAUCCAGAAAGGGAAUUGAUUGACUGUCCUUCUGCCUAUCCCACAGGGGCAAAGGUAUU
Molecule: long non-coding RNA, 628 nt
Filed under: Canis lupus familiaris (dog)
Lineage: Eukaryota; Metazoa; Chordata; Mammalia; Carnivora; Canidae
Description: lncRNA (ENSCAFG00000054083.1)
Source: RNAcentral